CCUACGGGUGGCAGCAGUCGAGAAUCAUUCACAAUGGGGGAAACCCUGAUGGUGCGACGCCGCGUGGGGGAAUGAAGGUCUUCGGAUUGUAAACCCCUGUCAUGUGGGAGCAAAUUAAAAAGAUAGUACCACAAGAGGAAGAGACGGCUAACUCUGUGCCAGCAGCCGCGGUAAUACAGAGGUCUCAAGCGUUGUGCGGAAUCACUGGGCGGAAAGCGUUGGUAGGCGGGUUCGUAAGUCGUGUGUGAAAGGCGCGGGCUCAACCCGCGGACGGCACAUGAUACUGCGAGACUAGAGUAAUGGAGGGGGAACCGGAAUUCUCGGUGUAGCAGUGAAAUGCGUAGAUAUCGAGAAGAACACUCGUGGCGAAGGCGGGUUCCUGGACAUUAACUGACGCUGAGGCACGAAGGCCAGGGGAGCGAAAGGGAUUAGAUACCCUUGUAGUC
RNAcentral lists this ribosomal RNA (446 nucleotides) under uncultured bacterium. Its description in RNAcentral is "partial 16S ribosomal RNA". It matches the Rfam family "Bacterial small subunit ribosomal RNA", at positions 338 to 795 of the family's 1533-position model. The record is from RNAcentral.